CGCGAACCCGCGAGUCUGAUCUCUCAAGAACCCCUGUGUGCUGAAACUCACACUUAGACCCCAGCACGCGAUCUCGCGUUUCCUACACUAUUUGAAAGCCCACACUUAGCCCCCCAACACGCGGGGUCGCGUGGCUCACACUAUUUGGCACUCACACCGUCAAAAUUCAGCUAUCAAACUCACUUGCAAGUUCAGCGGAAAAAGCCAUCAACAGUAGUAUUAAAUUUAAACCCAUUGAAUUCAGCAAUCAAAAUCUCGUCUGUUGUCAACAAAUUUAUCAAAUCUAAGGUUUUUCUUACAUUAUUUAGGAACUAGUGUUUAAAUUUGAAGGUAGGUGAAGAAAUGAUAACUCGUUCUAAACUCGUUGAGCAACUCAGAGACUACCAGAUCCGAUCUCAACACAAGUGUUCAGCUCUCACUGUCUUCUCUCCUAAGCCAUUUCUCUCAUCCCGACAUCAUGUUCCCUAGGAGUGGAGCUGGCUUUUGCCUCAUCCAGGUGUGAUGUUGCUGUGGCUGUCUUUUGGGCCUUAUUUUUUAGCAUGCUUGUCAUAUCAUCCUAUGUGGCCUUUUACUUUGAGCACUUCUGGAUUUCUUUCUUCAUUUUGUGCCCUAGUAUUUUCCUUCCGCUACGCCUAAGAAGUUGUAGGCAGGCAGUUGCCAGGAAGAGGGAUAGGAGAUUGUUAUUACCAUUGUCCAUGUGAACCACCUAUGCUAGUAAAGUACUUGCAGCUAUAUGAUUGGGCUAACAAAGGGCCCAUUACUCACUUCAAUUCAUGUGGCCUCUACUAAUCAAUUAUAGAGGAUGGAUCACUAAUCUUGGUCAACAGGCCCUAAACUGCCUCUCUGAGAUGGAUGGUACAGUUUCUUCCUACUCCUUAACCAUACACUAAAGGCAUGAGAAUUUGCAAAAUCUCCUUUUUCUGACAUGUAUACACUAUAUAGUUGAGCCAACGUAAGAGGCAAUACCUGUUAGUUUUUUCCUAUCAUUGGCUUGUAGAUUUCAUUCAGGUUCAAGAAAUAUAUGUAUCUAACAUUCUACAGAUUGAACUUUAUUUCUUCAGAUUUGAGGUGAAGGAGGUGUAAUUAAUUUUAAUCAGCAGAUUAGAAUAAAAUCUUAAAAGCUUUAUGAUGAUUA
Mangifera indica (mango) is the source of this 1135-nucleotide long non-coding RNA. RefSeq lists it as uncharacterized. Lineage: Eukaryota; Viridiplantae; Streptophyta; Magnoliopsida; Sapindales; Anacardiaceae. The transcript has 3 exons. The record is from RefSeq and is a predicted model, not a curated record.